RNAcentral lists this transfer RNA (72 nucleotides) under Camelus bactrianus (Bactrian camel). It matches the Rfam family "tRNA". From Rfam's summary of the family: Transfer RNA (tRNA) molecules are approximately 80 nucleotides in length. Their secondary structure includes four short double-helical elements and three loops (D, anti-codon, and T loops). The record is from Rfam by way of RNAcentral. Lineage: Eukaryota; Metazoa; Chordata; Mammalia; Artiodactyla; Camelidae. RNAcentral also lists the same sequence under 2 other names.
GAGGGUAUAGCUCAGUGGUAGAGCAUGUGCUUAGCAUGCACAAGGUUCUGGGUUCAAUCCUCAGUACCCCCA